AGAGUUUGAUCCUGGCUCAGAUUGAACGCUGGCGGCAGGCUUAACACAUGCAAGUCGAGCGGAAACGAUGGGAGCUUGCUCCCAGGCGUCGAGCGGCGGACGGGUGAGUAAUGCUUAGGAAUCUGCCCAGUAGUGGGGGACAACAGUCGGAAACGGCUGCUAAUACCGCAUACGCCCUUUGGGGGAAAGCAGGGGAUCUUCGGACCUUGCGCUAUUGGAUGAGCCUAAGUCGGAUUAGCUAGUUGGUGGGGUAAUGGCUCACCAAGGCGACGAUCCGUAGCUGGUCUGAGAGGAUGAUCAGCCACAUCGGGACUGAGACACGGCCCGAACUCCUACGGGAGGCAGCAGUGGGGAAUAUUGGACAAUGGGGGCAACCCUGAUCCAGCCAUGCCGCGUGUGUGAAGAAGGCUUUCGGGUUGUAAAGCACUUUCAGUGAGGAGGAAGGCUUUCAGACUAAUACUCUGGAGGAUUGACGUCACUCACAGAAGAAGCACCGGCUAACUCCGUGCCAGCAGCCGCGGUAAUACGGAGGGUGCAAGCGUUAAUCGGAAUUACUGGGCGUAAA
Molecule: ribosomal RNA, 565 nt
Filed under: uncultured Pseudomonadota bacterium
Lineage: Bacteria; Pseudomonadati; Pseudomonadota
Description: bacterial SSU rRNA
Rfam family: Bacterial small subunit ribosomal RNA
Source: RNAcentral